RNAcentral lists this ribosomal RNA (402 nucleotides) under uncultured Rhodospirillaceae bacterium. RNAcentral's name for it is "partial 16S ribosomal RNA". It matches the Rfam family "Bacterial small subunit ribosomal RNA", at positions 355 to 774 of the family's 1533-position model. The record is from RNAcentral. Lineage: Bacteria; Pseudomonadati; Pseudomonadota; Alphaproteobacteria; Rhodospirillales; Rhodospirillaceae.
UGGGGAAUAUUGGACAAUGGGGGAAACCCUGAUCCAGCCAUGCCGCGUGAGUGAUGAAGGCCUUCGGGUUGUAAAGCUCUUUCGGGUACGACGAUGAUGACGGUAGUACCAGAAGAAGCCCCGGCUAACUUCGUGCCAGCAGCCGCGGUAAUACGAAGGGGGCAAGCGUUGUUCGGAAUUACUGGGCGUAAAGCGCACGCAGGCGGUUUGACUCGUCAGAAGUGAAAUACCCGGGCUUAACCUGGGAAUUGCUUUUGAAACUGUCAGACUUGAAUCAUGGAGAGGAUAGCGGAAUUCCGAGUGUAGAGGUGAAAUUCGUAGAUAUUCGGAAGAACACCGGUGGCGAAGGCGGCUAUCUGGCCAUGUAUUGACGCUCAGGUGCGAAAGCGUGGGGAGCAAACA